AAAUGCUUGCAGCAUUCACACCCAAUUAGCUGGAAUUAGCAGCAGAUUGUUCAGUGGUUCAUUGCUCAGUUUUCUGAAC
Small nucleolar RNA from Micropterus dolomieu (smallmouth bass), 79 nucleotides. Lineage: Eukaryota; Metazoa; Chordata; Actinopteri; Centrarchiformes; Centrarchidae. The record is from RefSeq and is a predicted model, not a curated record.